UACGUAGGGGGCAAGCGUUGUCCGGAAUCAUUGGGCGUAAAGAGCGUGUAGGCGGUUCGAUAAGUCGGCUGUGAAAGUCCAGGGCUCAACCCUGGGAUGCCGGUCGAAACUGUCGGACUAGAGUUCGGAAGAGGCGAGUGGAAUUCCCGGUGUAGCGGUGAAAUGCGCAGAUAUCGGGAGGAACACCAAUGGCGAAGGCAGCUCGCUGGGCCGAUACUGACGCUGAGGAGCGAAAGCGUGGGGAGCGAACAGG
Molecule: ribosomal RNA, 253 nt
Filed under: uncultured bacterium
Lineage: Bacteria
Description: partial 16S ribosomal RNA
Rfam family: Bacterial small subunit ribosomal RNA
Source: RNAcentral